This 440-nucleotide ribosomal RNA is filed under the name uncultured bacterium. Its description in RNAcentral is "partial 16S ribosomal RNA". It matches the Rfam family "Bacterial small subunit ribosomal RNA", at positions 338 to 795 of the family's 1533-position model. The record is from RNAcentral.
CCUACGGGAGGCUGCAGUGGGGAAUAUUGGACAAUGGGGGGAACCCUGAUCCAGCGACGCCGCGUGAGUGAAGAAGUAUUUCGGUAUGUAAAGCUCUAUCAGCAGGGAAGAAAAUGACGGUACCUGACUAAGAAGCCCCGGCUAACUACGUGCCAGCAGCCGCGGUAAUACGUAGGGGGCAAGCGUUAUCCGGAUUUACUGGGUGUAAAGGGAGCGUAGACGGUGCAGCAAGUCUGAUGUGAAAGGUCGGGGCCCAACCCCGGGACUGCAUUGGAAACUGUUGAACUGGAGUACAGGAGAGGUAAGCGGAAUUCCUAGUGUAGCGGUGAAAUGCGUAGAUAUUAGGAGGAACACCAGUGGCGAAGGCGGCCUGCUGGGCUUUUACUGACGCUGAGGCUCGAAAGCGUGGGUAGCAAACAGGAUUAGAUACCCGUGUAGUC